This 268-nucleotide long non-coding RNA is filed under the name Elaeis guineensis (African oil palm). RNAcentral's name for it is "long non-coding RNA (EGUI_LNC032943)". Lineage: Eukaryota; Viridiplantae; Streptophyta; Magnoliopsida; Arecales; Arecaceae. The record is from RNAcentral.
UCUGGCAAGUCACGACAAUGGCCGCUACCCUACUCCACUCUCUGUAAUGGAUUCCGUGUGGCUCCACCACUCUCUGGCAAGUCGCGACAAUAGACACCACUCCACUCUCCAUAACAAACUCCACGUGGCCCUGAACGGCCCCCUGACACCACUACUCUCCGUAACAAACUCUGCGUGGCCCUGAACGGCCCACUACCAGGUGGUUACAGACGUCGCUGUCAAUCAGUUACGCUCUCCGUCUAUAAAAAGGGACCCCCAGAUACGUUCU